AAAUUUACCUUGCUGGGAGGUUUCCGCGAUCACGAAGGCGGCACCUUCACGGUGAGACCGGCACAUUGCACUUUCGGUCCGGUUGACCUGUGUGGCUACCUCGAGUUGGGUAGGCCAGCAGCACAAUUUUUGCGUUAGGGGCUGCGUUCGCGCUCCCCCGU
This 161-nucleotide small nuclear RNA is filed under the name Gongylonema pulchrum. Its description in RNAcentral is "U1 spliceosomal RNA". It matches the Rfam family "U1 spliceosomal RNA". Rfam says of the family: U1 is a small nuclear RNA (snRNA) component of the spliceosome (involved in pre-mRNA splicing). Its 5' end forms complementary base pairs with the 5' splice junction, thus defining the 5' donor site of an intron. The record is from Rfam by way of RNAcentral. Lineage: Eukaryota; Metazoa; Nematoda; Chromadorea; Rhabditida; Gongylonematidae.